GCUAUUUUGCCCUCUGGUCCCAAUGCCUGAUGGGUUCCCCUGGGAUAUUUUGCCCAGGGCUCGUUCCGGGGGACAGGUCGCGUGCUGAACCUUUUGGAUCCUGAGCGGACGUACCUGGAGAACCCUGGGGAUGGGAGAGCUAAGGCCCCGGGGGACCCAUCGACUCCCUUCGAGCAAGUGCGGAGCCCGGCGGAGCGUCCCGGACACCGCGUCCGGCUCCCCACUCCACGGGCCGAAUCAGCUGCCGUCUGCGCCCCCGCGCGCCGCCCCCGGGGAGGUGCGUUAAUCACAAGUGAGUGCGACCUUGCAGCUGUGAUAAAUGCUAUAGAGAAGAAGCACAUUUUGCCGUGAGAGAGAUGUCACCUGACCAGGAUGGUCAGGGAGACGUUUUCUUCUGAGGAGAGCUGAGAGCUAAACAAUGACUUUGAGUUUUGGUUGGAGACUUCUGGAAAGGGCACAGGUCAGUGGGCUGCAAUCUCUAACCAAGAACCUUACAAGGGUCUCAGCUAACGUGUCAGCUGACCCCACGCAUGGUCAGCUUUUCUUGCUUACUUGUACUGUCUGUUUCAGGGAAAAGCAGCCAGAAAAUGGAGAACACAGAUGCCCAGCCACACCCUACAGAAAGACAGGGUGUGACAUUCCCAGGUCCAGUCCCAGCUGGUAUGAGGCUGUCCCCUGAGCCAUAAGAUGGCUGCAAACUUGGGUGCCCUGGACCUCCCCAUCCCCCAGAACUGGAAAGCCUCCUGAUAAAAGAUGCCACCAGGAGGCAGGAAUCUAACCUGCAAAUCCAUGAUCCUGGUCCUGAAACACUGUUGUCAGGUCAUCAUACCCCUCUGCCAUGAGGAGCUCGCUGGGCCGGGGAGGCCCUUAGCCACAUAUGGGGACUGUGCCAUCAGUGGCUAUGGCCAGAGAUGCCCCCAAGGAGCAGAUCCUGGAGCUCCUAGAGCUGGAGCUCUCCUGACCAUCCUGUCCGAGAUCCACACUGGGUUCACUUGAGGACUCAGAGGGUGACAAGAGGCAGUAACUGAUGGAGGAUUUGUGGAGAGCCCAGGAAACCAGGAUACUGGGAUGAGAAGGGCCAGAGGAGACCCAGUGAGUGAACACGAGAUAGGUGAUAAGCUCCUCUCCUUGGAAGAAGCAGGCAGAGGGGAUACCCUGAGCAUAUGUUAGCCCUCUGCAACAGGUAGAAUGUGGGCAAUCUUGGUUCUUCUUCCAGCAAUACGCUGUAAUUUUGAAAAGGUUUGGGAAGAGGAGUGUGGGGAAGUCAGAGGCAGAGUUGAUCACCCUCCCAGUUUUGCUGUGAGCCAGCCUUGCCUGAGGCAGCCCUGCCCACGGGUCUGCACUUCCAGUGGUGGCUGGACCAGACCUAUGAGAGCCACUCCAAAGGAGGACCAGGCCUCUUGAGGGGCGAGGCAUUUACUCCCACUGGAGCCUUUGCCUUAGAGUGCUGGGGCACUGGCUACGCUGGAGGCACAUAACUCUGAUCCUCUCACUUAAACCUUAUAAAGUUGAAGAAACAGAUUUGAAAGGGGAACUAGAGCCAGGAUUGGAUCUAGGUCUGUCCAAAGCCAAUGUUCAUGCGCACUUGGUGCUAUGGUCUGAAUGUUUCUGCCCGCCUCCAUCAGUUCAUAUGUUGAAAUCCUAACCCCCAAAGAUGAUGGUAUUAGGAGGUAGGGGCUUUCAGAGGCGCUUAGGUCAUGAAGGCAGAGCCCUCAUUAGUGGGACUUAGUGCCCUUAUAAACAAGACCCCAGAGAGCUCCCUCACCGCUUCCACCUUGAGAGGACACAGUGAGAAUAUGGCAGCUGUGAACCAGGAAGAGGCCUCUCACCAGAACGCGACCUGACCAUGCUGGCACCUUGAUUUCAGACUUCCAGCCUCCAGAACUGUGAGAAAUAAAUGUCUGUUGUUUGUAAGCCACCAAGUCUGUGAUAAUUUUGUUAUAGCAGCCUGAACAGACCAAAACACUUGGCUAUGCUGAACUGUCUCCCGACGCUCCUUUCUUAAAGUUUUUCAAAAGGUAAAACAAGUGCCUUAAAACUUUUCCUCAGGACAUUGUCUUUGGCUUGAAGCCCUCAUGCUACAUGUGAAAUAUACUUCUCUGCAGUGUCACUUCCUGGGUUCUGCCUUUUCCUAAUACUGUGUCACUCUCAAUCUGUCAGCUCAGGCCUUCCCUCCCGCUGAUGAAAGCACACUGCUCCUGUCCUCUCCUGGCAAGGCUGAGUCCUCAGUAUAGGUGUCCCCCACUUCACACACAGACAUGUCCACGUCCCUAUGCCUGUGUCCUCACACCUCCCAGUGGGGUCCAGGUAAGCCCUAAUUUGUAACCUUCAUCUUUGGAUGUUCUGCCUUCUGCUUCUGUUGGGGGCACCCUCCUCUGCCACCCUGGUCUCUCUCCUUGUCUCUAACCCUCUGCUCCAUCUUCUAGAGCAAGACCUUGACCUCUGCCCCCAUUCUUGCUUGCAGGUACUCCAGGAAGACUAAUGUAUAGCCCCACUCACAAGAUUUUUGUUGCCUUCUGGCAAACUUUUCACUGGGUUCUUGAAAAUUAUGUAUUUGCAAAAAGUAAGGAGUACGGUAUUCACAAUAGCCAAAAGAUGGAAACAACCCCAAUGUCUAUUGGCAGAUGGAUGGAUAAACAGACCACUCUAUCCAUACACUGGAAUGUUAUUGAGCCUUAAAAAAGGAGUGAAAUUCUGACACAUGCUACAACAUGGAUGAGCCUUGAGGACAUUAUGUUCAGUGAAAUAAGCCAGUGACGAAAAGACAAAUUCUGUAUAAUUCCACUUAUAUGAGGCCCCUAGCGUAGACAAAUUCACAGAGACAGAGAAGUAGAAGGGUGGGC
This 2843-nucleotide long non-coding RNA is filed under the name Equus caballus (horse). RNAcentral's name for it is "lncRNA (ENSECAG00000044934.1)". Lineage: Eukaryota; Metazoa; Chordata; Mammalia; Perissodactyla; Equidae. The record is from RNAcentral.